GUGUCUAUGACCCGAUGGCUACCCUCACAAGGUUUAGCCGGCCUGUUGAAGUGGGUGUGGCCACUGCUGCAUGCUAGCAGCUACUAGGACCUACAAGUGAGAGUUGGGUGUCAGGUGAGGGUCAGAGAUUGGAGAGCUGCCCUAGGAGGGCACGACAAGCCCUCCAUACCAAAGAUACUACUCCUCCCUGAGCACCCCAUACAUCCCACAAAAGGUAUAACUAACCACAAAAAAGGUGUAAACACCCAUUUCAUGCAUUGAGUGGGAGGUCUGUGAUCCAUAUGAGAAAGAGUGGGCAUUCCUGGAGAGGAGAGUCUGCUGUGAUUGGUAGACAUGAAAUUUAGGGAGGUGACACAAGAGAAUAAGGUCUUUAAAUAGAGGAAACAAAGACUGAAGAAGAAGUCACUGGAAUUUGGAGUAAAGGAUGAGUAACUCCGAACUAGAGGGAAGACAGACACUUGAGGAGAGACUGGAAGAUGGACACUUGCCCUUGGCCUUAGAACUGGACCCCUGGAGGAGCUCGUGCAGGAGACCUAAGACUGCUUUCCUUUUACAUGGUCACCCUUGCAAAGCCUCUUGAUUCAGCUCAUUCCUCCUGACCUUCUUGACCAAGAUCAUUCACCUGGUCCGGGCUCCUGCUCCUGCUGCCUGCUUCUGCGCUCCAGCAAUCCACUCCUGCCUGCAGUCAUCCGCUCCAGACCUGCUUGACCCAGAUCCCUCUUCAGGUCCGGCCCCAGCCAUGGCCCCAGCCCUGGCCCCAGCCCUGGCCCUGGCCCCGACCCUGACCCCAGCUGAUCUCUAGCCUCUGAGCCAGAUGACCCCAGGCCAGUCCCAGGACCCUGGCUGCUGAUAGCUGCCCCCAUUUCUUCAGGAUUCACAAACAAGCUGGUAAAAAUGGAGUGAUCUUUCCUUAGGCUACAAUUAGCCUCCACGGGGCAGGGGACCACAGGGGGGACAACAAAGAGAAGGAAGAAACUUUUCCAAACAGGAAGUUGAUUAAAAGCAUGGCAUAUUUCAAAGAAUAUCUUUUGAGUACACUGAUUCUGUUAUUCAUCUCACCUGAGAUUCAGG
Molecule: long non-coding RNA, 1071 nt
Filed under: Monodelphis domestica (gray short-tailed opossum)
Lineage: Eukaryota; Metazoa; Chordata; Mammalia; Didelphimorphia; Didelphidae
Description: lncRNA (ENSMODG00000032876.2)
Source: RNAcentral